UUCUGAAGAGAUUAAAGAUCUUUUGACAAAUUAUAUGGGUGUUAGGGCAGUUACGAGUGUAGAGAAGUAUUUGGGUCUACCUACUAUGGUGGAGAGAAAGAAGAAAGAGGCUUUUCAAAGGCUCUGCGGUAGUUUGAGAAUAAGAGUUAACGGAUGGAGGAGCCGGAUGCUUUCUCAAGGGGGUAAAAAAGUUUUCAUCAAAGCUGUGUUACAGGCUAUACUGAUUUAUUCCAUGUUUUGUUUUCUUCUUCCAAAGUCAUUAUGUGCUUACAUGGAAAAAAUCUUGAAUCGAUUUUGGUGGGGUAAAGGAAGUAAUCGGCGUGGGUUGCACUGGGGUUGUUGGACCGAUUUAUGCCAGGCUAAAGAGAAUGAUGGCUUAAACUUCCGCGAUAUGGGGAAAUUUAACAUUGAUUUGUUAGCUAAACAAGGAUGGCGAUUAGUUACUAAUCCGGAUUCGUUGUUAGCUAGAAUUUAUAAAGCAAAAUACUACCAUCGGUCAAGUUUUGGGAAGCAAGACUUGGGACUUACGCUUCGUAUACUUGGAAAAGUAUAUAUACAGUACCGGGAUUGUUAGAGCAACGAAUGGGCUGGAGAGUAGGUACAGGAGAGUAUCUCGAUCUGGCAUGAUCGUUGGCUGCCGCAAAGGGCUAGAAACAAGGUCAAUACACGUCCCAUUAAUAAUUUGGUCUAAACAGUGGAUCAGUUAAUCAACAAAGAAAAAUAAAUGUGGAAACAAGAGAUAAUUACUAGUAUUUUUUCUGUUGAAGAUGCGGAGGCGAUCAAAUGUAUUCCCUUAUCUAAAAAUGAAUGUACAGACUGUUAGGUGUAGCGUGGGGAGAAAACAGGUCAAUAUACAGUUCGUAGUGGCUACAAAGAGCUUAUGACCCGAAAUGAUAAUACUGAAAUCCCAGAUAACAUACAAAUGAUUUAUAAAAAAUAUGGUCUUUUUCUAUACCUUCUAAGAUUAAGCUAACGAUGUGGAGAGCGUUACGAGAUUUCAUUCCAACAGGCUAGUAACUCUUUAACAAGAGGGUUAGAAAUACUACAAGUGGUCCUCGUUGUAAUGCUGAAUCAGAGACGUUUCUACACGUGAUUGCAGAUUGUAACCAAGUCAAAAACAUCUGGGAAGCAAUAGGUAUUUUUUAGUCUAAUAAUAUGAAUUUAGAGACUUUUUGGGAUUGAACUAUUCACCUGGUCUAUGGCAGAGCAGAGAGGUUCUUGGAAAAGGUUGUCAUAGCGGUUUGGGCAAUCUGUUGGGCACGUAAUAGACAAGUUAUGGAAGGUAAAUUAGUAAUAAGGCAAGAGACUACGACAAAAAUUAUAAGUACGCUUGCUGAAAUUGAGGUGUUAAAGGAGAAAUUACCUGUUGUAAGGGAGGUGGACAUAGACCGAUGGAAACCCUCACAAGCAUCGUGGGUGAUAUUAAACUUUGAUGCAGCCUACAAAAUCCAAACAAAAAAGUCAUGCUCUGGAUUUAGCAUUAGAAAUAAAAAAAGGGGAAGUAAUGGGUAGUGGAGUUACCCUUUAUACCAAUAUCUUAUAUGCGUUUUUGGCAGGAGCUACAGCCUAUUACCAAUGGCUCAUUUUGGCUAAAGAAAUGGGGUUUGUAAAAAUGGAGGUUGAGGGGGACUCUCAGACGACAAUCGAGAAAAUCAAUUAGGAUGGAAAUAGUAGAGCUGAUCUGGACUCAAUUAUAGCAGAUAUCAAAGCCAUUGGAAGGUCUUUCCAUCAGAUUAAAUUUAAACAUGUUAGAAGGGAAGCUAAUCGAGUGGCACAUUUCAUCGCUAGGGAGGGGCACAGUAGAUCAGAAAAUACCUUUUGGAUGGAAGACACUCCAGUGGUGGUGAGAGAGAUGGUGGCUGCAGAGGAGAUGAGAAAUAUUCCCCAAACGACUGAAUGAUUUGCUUAGGGACGAUUGGACUGGCCUAAUGGUUUUAUUGGCGGCCAUGCUUCAGUCACCUGAGAAGUUUUGAUGGUAGUCUAGAGCUUUCUGUUUUUCUACCGGGUUUCCAUUUUAUUUUUGUUGUUUCAGAUGUCUUUUGGUUUUUUUAACUGUUUAUUAUUGGUUCUUUUUCUUUGGUUUUUUAAUGGAGAUCACGGUUUUAUCAAAAAAAAAAUCAACUGUGGAUAAAAGUACUAUGGAUACCCUUAUAUUAAAGGUAGACAUGUAUUUUGCUUUCUCUACUUAAAAAAUGAGUAAAUUAAUUUUUGUACGUUAUAUUAAAGAGCAAAUUGGUCAUUUUGUUUCAAAAUUUCAUCCAUUUCUACUGUUCAAAUGGUUAAUGUAUGUAAAUAUAAAAUACACGUGCCAUACCCUGUAUAACUGUCUGGUUAU
Molecule: long non-coding RNA, 2335 nt
Filed under: Gossypium barbadense (sea-island cotton)
Lineage: Eukaryota; Viridiplantae; Streptophyta; Magnoliopsida; Malvales; Malvaceae
Description: long non-coding RNA (GBAR_LNC018186)
Source: RNAcentral